Molecule: ribosomal RNA, 419 nt
Filed under: uncultured Bacilli bacterium
Lineage: Bacteria; Bacillati; Bacillota; Bacilli
Description: bacterial SSU rRNA
Rfam family: Bacterial small subunit ribosomal RNA
Source: RNAcentral
AUACAUGCAAGUCGAACGCUUCUUUCCUCCCGAGUGCUUGCGCUCAAUUGGAAAGAGGAGUGGCGGACGGGUGAGUAACACGUGGGUAACCUACCCAUCAGAGGGGGAUAACACUUGGAAACAGGUGCUAAUACCGCAUAACAGUUUAUGCCGCAUGGCAUAAGAGUGAAAGGCGCUUUCGGGUGUCGCUGAUGGAUGGACCCGCGGUGCAUUAGCUAGUUGGUGAGGUAACGGCUCACCAAGGCCACGAUGCAUAGCCGACCUGAGAGGGUGAUCGGCCACACUGGGACUGAGACACGGCCCAGACUCCUACGGGAGGCAGCAGUAGGGAAUCUUCGGCAAUGGACGAAAGUCUGACCGAGCAACGCCGCGUGAGUGAAGAAGGUUUUCGGAUCGUAAACCUCUGUCCUCUGUGAAGA